RNAcentral lists this long non-coding RNA (1201 nucleotides) under Piliocolobus tephrosceles (Ugandan red Colobus). RNAcentral's name for it is "lncRNA (ENSPTEG00000010915.1)". Lineage: Eukaryota; Metazoa; Chordata; Mammalia; Primates; Cercopithecidae. The record is from RNAcentral.
AUAUAUAAAAAUUAAAUAUUUUAUACCUUUCAGGAAAAAAUAGUAAAGAGAUCAUUAAUUUUGCUUAUUUGAUGAUAGCAAAGUGGAACAAAAAUAAAGCAAAAGUAAUAGGCAUAAUUUAAUAGACACAUACGAGAUGAUAGACACAUUUAUAUACUGGAUUUAUCGAGGGAGUAAAGGUAGUGCAAAUGUAUUAAGAAUAUCUUUACCAUGUAGUUAUAAUACAAUAAAAAAAAAAAUUUUAGAAGUAAUUAAUAUAGAUUUACAAAACAAUUUAGAUAUACUUUUAUAUCAUAACAAUAGAGUAUUAAGUGAAUAUGAAAGUAUUAAAAAUGAAAUGCUUAUAGAAGUACAAAGAAGUAACAUUAAUGUUGUAAAUGAGUUGUUACAAAAUAGUAAUAGAAUUUAUUUGGAAAAAAGUAAAAAUGCUGAAGAGAAUAAAAAUAUACUAUCAAGUUUGAAUGAAGAUGAAAAUAAUCAGUAUAAUAGUAGUAAUAAUACAAAUACUAGUUACGGUAGUAUUAAUAGUAUACAUAAAAAUUUAUAUGGUAAAUCUAAUAGUAUGCAUGAUGUAAACAAAAUUGUAAGAGGAACAACUACAAAAUCUUUAAAUUAUUUACAACACAGUCCUAAUAAAUCAUGGAAUGUAUACAACCGAAAUAAUAUAACAAAUGAUGCCAGUACAUACGAAGAAGAUAUGAAGAUACAAGAAGUAAUGGAAAAGAAUAAUGUAUUCCAAUCUGAUUAUCAUAAAAAAAAAAUGAGUUAUUUUAAAAAAAAUAAAAAUAAUACAAUGUUAUUUCAAAGUAAAAUUAAAAAAAACGUACCAUUUAUGAUUUCAAAAAAAAAUAACCACACAUAUAAUAAUAGUAACAUUAAUACACGAACCGAAAAUGGAAUAAUAAAUGGAAAUAUGAUUUCACAAAAANNNNNNNNNNAUAAUAAUAAUAAUAAUAAUAAAAUUUGUAAUGGUAAUAAUAUAUGACAAUAUAGAAGUAUACUUCACACAAGUCUUGAUCCGUAAGUCAUAUAUAUAUACGUACAUAUAUCUGUUUGUAUAUAAAAAUUAAGUCAAGUGUUACUAUUAUAUGUUAAUAUUUUACCUCCAUAUACACAUAUGUACGUACAUACAUACAGAUGUAUAAACUAAAACUAUCAUGGUAUGUGUUGUCAAAAAGGGGUAAAAAAAUAUGUAUAUAUA